GCAGCAGAAAGCAUGACUCCUUCCUCAGCUCUGCAGAGGAGGGCAGGCUAGGGUUGGUGUUAAGAGUAAUGGAAAAGGGAAGCAACGUGAGAUCUGAGCAAGUGUCUAAGAGUACUGUUGUAGGAGCAGUCUCAUCUAAGCUGUCAUCUUCCUUUACCCCUGGACUACAUGAAAGCAGCCCUCAUUAAAUUAGCUCUGGACAUUCAAAAUUACCGAUUUGUCUUUUAAAAAAGGAACAUACUUAGAGUAAUAGAUAAUUUCAUUUGGAAAAGACCUCUGAGAUCAUUGAGUCCAGCUGUUAACCCAGAAGGGCAAGUCCACCACCUGAACCACAGUUCCAAGUGCCACAUCUACAAGGUCCCAAACACUUCCCUGGACAGCCUGUUCCAAUGCCUGACA
Taeniopygia guttata (zebra finch) is the source of this 399-nucleotide non-coding RNA. NCBI's taxonomy places the organism in Eukaryota, Metazoa, Chordata, Aves, Passeriformes, Estrildidae. The record is from RefSeq and is a predicted model, not a curated record.